Molecule: transfer RNA, 73 nt
Filed under: Nitriliruptor sp.
Lineage: Bacteria; Bacillati; Actinomycetota; Nitriliruptoria; Nitriliruptorales; Nitriliruptoraceae
Description: tRNA-Glu
Rfam family: tRNA
About the family: Transfer RNA (tRNA) molecules are approximately 80 nucleotides in length. Their secondary structure includes four short double-helical elements and three loops (D, anti-codon, and T loops).
Source: RNAcentral
GCCCCCGUCGUCUAGCGGCCUAGGAUUCCACCCUCUCACGGUGGCGACGCCGGUUCAAAUCCGGUCGGGGGUA